GAGUAGUGUGAUGGUCAGUAUUUGCUUCAUGGUGUGCAUCGCCCUGGAAAGGUAUCUGGUCAUCGCCUGUCCACUGUGGUACCGCUUCAGACACACCAUCAAGUUCUCUGUGGUUCUCUGUGUUAUGGUCUGGGUCCUUUCUCCUGUCCUGUGUGUCCUCACAGUUUGGGUGCUGCCGGAUGGUUCUGUCACAAGAAUCAUCAUGGGGACUUUCUUCCUCUCCCACUGUUCAUCUUCUUCCUGGGUGGGACCAUCAGAGCUCUGUCUGCCAGUCGUGUCCCCUCUGAUGAAAAACGAAGAAUUGUUGGAAUUUUGGUCCUGGUGUUGCUUAUUUACACACUGCUGUUUCUGCCAGCCAUCAUUUGGUUCAUGGCACAUAUCCACAUUCAGAACCUCGGAUUCCUGACACGUGGGUUUCUGAUGUUGAGUCCCCUUGCAGACUCUUUUCUGUAUGUUUUCAUGAGGAAAGGGACCAUAGACAAGCUUCUGGCCUCUGUGUGUUGCUGCAGAAUGGACAGCAAUGACAGCAGCAGAAUGGACAGCAAUGAUAUCACCAGUUCAACAGUGUGAAUGAUGACAACAUUCACUCAGUCAGCUUCAUGUAGGAAGCGAAUGGAGUGAGGUACAUUAUGUUGUCUACUGAUGUGAUUUCCAAUAAAACACCUACGUCUAGAUAAAAGUGUUGCUGUAACUCUGCUGUGGGAGAACUGGCUGCUGGGAAAUGUGUUGGUGAUCUUGUUCUGGUUCACUGUGAUGGCUCCAACAAAUGUAAAUAACUUUUUGAGUUGUAAGUUGAUGUCUAUCAUUACUCUCCUAUAAUCACCAAAGUAAAUCAGAUAUGAUUAUUCUAUUAGCUGAGCUCAUUAAACUCACCACACCGUCUUGUUCCUGAAUCUUUUUAUUCUGACUGUUUGUUAACACAGGGAGAACAUCUGAACAAGUCUUUAGAACCUUUCCUUUAUUGGUCAUUGUGAUAACUAAUGUCUGUUCCUUUUUUAUUAUAUUGUUGUAUAAAUAAGAAACAUGACUACACAAUAUUUGUUUACCUUGAAGUUGUAUUUUUGGUGCUAGUUUUUAGGAUGGAGCAGCUGUUGUGUGUUUUCAAGAAAUAUGACAUCUUGUAUCACUUCCCACAUAAUAUAUGAAACUGUGC
This 1153-nucleotide long non-coding RNA is filed under the name Sparus aurata (gilthead seabream). Its description in RNAcentral is "lncRNA (ENSSAUG00010019126.1)". The record is from RNAcentral. Lineage: Eukaryota; Metazoa; Chordata; Actinopteri; Spariformes; Sparidae.